UUAUUGGAGAGUUUGAUCCUGGCUCAGGAUGAACGCUGGCGGCGUGCCUAAUACAUGCAAGUCGAGCGAAUGGAUUGAGAGCUUGCUCUUAUGAAGUUAGCGGCGGACGGGUGAGUAACACGUGGGUAACCUGCCCAUAAGACUGGGAUAACUCCGGGAAACCGGGGCUAAUACCGGAUAACAUUUUGAACUGCAUGGUUCGAAAUUGAAAGGCGGCUUCGGCUGUCACUUAUGGAUGGACCCGCGUCGCAUUAGCUAGUUGGUGAGGUAACGGCUCACCAAGGCAACGAUGCGUAGCCGACCUGAGAGGGUGAUCGGCCACACUGGGACUGAGACA
This 337-nucleotide ribosomal RNA is filed under the name Xenorhabdus koppenhoeferi. Its description in RNAcentral is "bacterial SSU rRNA". It matches the Rfam family "Bacterial small subunit ribosomal RNA", at positions 1 to 326 of the family's 1533-position model. The record is from RNAcentral. Lineage: Bacteria; Pseudomonadati; Pseudomonadota; Gammaproteobacteria; Enterobacterales; Morganellaceae.